CAGCGGCUUCGGCUGUUGAGUGCCCGCCAGAGGACCACAACUCUUGUUUUUAGUGAUGUCUGAGUACUAUAUAAUAGUUAAAACUUUCAACAACGGAUCUCUUGGUUCUGGCAUCGAUGAAGAACGCAGCGAAAUGCGAUAAGUAAUGUGAAUUGCAGAAUUCAGUGAAUCAUCG
This 175-nucleotide ribosomal RNA is filed under the name Cadophora luteo-olivacea. RNAcentral's name for it is "5.8S ribosomal RNA". The stretch from base 82 to 175 matches the Rfam family "5.8S ribosomal RNA", at positions 1 to 94 of the family's 154-position model. Rfam says of the family: 5.8S ribosomal RNA (5.8S rRNA) is a component of the large subunit of the eukaryotic ribosome. It is transcribed by RNA polymerase I as part of the 45S precursor that also contains 18S and 28S rRNA. The record is from RNAcentral. Lineage: Eukaryota; Fungi; Ascomycota; Leotiomycetes; Helotiales; Ploettnerulaceae.